RNAcentral lists this ribosomal RNA (492 nucleotides) under uncultured bacterium. Its description in RNAcentral is "partial 16S ribosomal RNA". It matches the Rfam family "Bacterial small subunit ribosomal RNA", at positions 29 to 507 of the family's 1533-position model. The record is from RNAcentral.
AGUGAACGCUGGCGGUAGGCCUAACACAUGCAAGUCGAACGGCAGCACAGUAAGAGCUUGCUCUUACGGGUGGCGAGUGGCGGACGGGUGAGGAAUACAUCGGAAUCUACUUUUUCGUGGGGGAUAACGUAGGGAAACUUACGCUAAUACCGCAUACGACCUACGGGUGAAAGCAGGGGAUCUUCGGACCUUGCGCGAUUGAAUGAGCCGAUGUCGGAUUAGCAAGUUGGCGGGGUAAAGGCCCACCAAGGCGACGAUCCGUAGCUGGUCUGAGAGGAUGAUCAGCCACACUGGAACUGAGACAAGGUCCAGAAUCCUACGGGAGGCAGCAGUGGGGAAUAUUGGACAAUGGGCGCAAGCCUGAUCCAGCCAUACCGCGUGGGUGAAGAAGGCCUUCGGGUUGUAAAGCCCUUUUGUUGGGAAAGAAAAGCAGCAGGUUAAUACCCCGCUGUUCUGACGGUACCCAAAGAAUAAGCACCGGCUAACUUCGUG